This 1216-nucleotide ribosomal RNA is filed under the name metagenome. RNAcentral describes it as "bacterial SSU rRNA". It matches the Rfam family "Bacterial small subunit ribosomal RNA", at positions 293 to 1498 of the family's 1533-position model. The record is from RNAcentral.
UGAGAGGGCGAUCGGCCACACUGGGACUGAGACACUGCCCAGACUCCUACGGGAGGCUGCAGUCGAGAAUAUUUAGCAACGGACGAAAGUCUGACUAUGCGACGCCGCGUGCAGGAUGAAGGUUUUCGGAUUGUAAACUGCUUUUAUUAGGAAAGAAACCUUGUCGGUUAAUAUCCGGCAAGCUGACGGUACCUGAUGAAUAAGCCACGGCUAACUCCGUGCCAGCAGCCGCGGUAAUACGGAGGUGGCAAGCGUUACUCGGAAUUAUUGGGUGUAAAGGGCAAGUAGGCGGUUUAUUAAGCGAGGGGUGAAAUCUUCCGACUCAAUCGGAAAACGGCCUUUCGAACUGGUAGACUUGAGGCAGGUAGAGGGAAAUGGAAUUUCCGGUGUAAGGGUGAAAUCUGUAGAUAUCGGAAAGAACACCAACGGCGAAGGCAAUUUCCUGGGCCUGUCCUGACGCUAAAUUGCGAAAGCUAGGGGAGCAAACAGAAUUAGAUACUCUGGUAGUCCUAGCUGUAAACGAUGAGUACUAGGUGUCGGAUCGUAAGAUUCGGUGCCGCAGCUAACGCAUUAAGUACUCCACCUGGGGACUACGGUCGCAAGGCUAAAACUCAAAGGAAUUGACGGGGGCCCGCACAAGCGGUGGAACAUGUGGUUUAAUUCGAUGAUACGCGAAGAACCUCACCAAGGCUUGACAUAUAAGAAGUAGUGAACCGAAAGGGGAACGAGUCGUCAAGUCCGACAACUUAUACAGGUGCUGCAUGGCUGUCGUCAGCUCGUGUCGUGAGAUGUUGGGUUAAGUCCCGCAACGAGCGCAACCAUUGCCCUAUGUUGCCACCACAUUUUAACCUUCGGGUUAAAUGUGAGCACUCUUAGGGGACUGCCCGGGAUAACCGGGAGGAAGGUGGAGAUGACGUCAAGUCAGUACGGCCCCUAUGCCUUGGGCUACACACGUGUUACAAUGGUCGAUACAAAGGGUUGCCAACCCGUGAGGGGGAGCUAAUCUCUAAAAAUCGACCCCAGUUCAGAUUGGAGUCUGCAAUUUGACUCCAUGAAGCCGGAAUCGCUAGUAAUGGGAGAUCAGCACGCUCCCGUGAAUACGUUCCCGGGCCUUGUACACACCGCCCGUCAAGCGAUGGGAGCCGGGGGUACCCGAAGUCCUAUGUAGAUAGGCCGAAGGUAAAUCUGGUGACUGGCGCUAAGUCGAAACAAGGUA